RNAcentral lists this transfer RNA (71 nucleotides) under Loxodonta africana (African savanna elephant). It matches the Rfam family "tRNA". From Rfam's summary of the family: Transfer RNA (tRNA) molecules are approximately 80 nucleotides in length. Their secondary structure includes four short double-helical elements and three loops (D, anti-codon, and T loops). The record is from Rfam by way of RNAcentral. Lineage: Eukaryota; Metazoa; Chordata; Mammalia; Proboscidea; Elephantidae.
GCAUUGGUGGUUCAGUAGUAAAACUCCUACCUUCCAUGUGGAAGACCCGGGUUCAAUUCCUGGUCAGUGCA